RNAcentral lists this unclassified non-coding RNA (327 nucleotides) under soil metagenome. RNAcentral describes it as "partial contains 5.8S ribosomal RNA, internal transcribed spacer 2, and large subunit ribosomal RNA". The stretch from base 1 to 120 matches the Rfam family "5.8S ribosomal RNA", at positions 35 to 154 of the family's 154-position model. The record is from RNAcentral.
GAUGAAGAACGUAGCAAAAUGCGAUAAGUAGUGUGAAUUGCAGAAUUCAGUGAAUCAUCGAAUCUUUGAACGCACAUUGCGCCCCUUGGUAUUCCGAGGGGCAUGCCUGUUCGAGCGUCAUUAUAACCCCUCAAGCUCGGCUUGGUGUUGGGGCCUGCCGCACGGGCAGCCCUUAAAAUCAGUGGCGGUGCCAUCUGGCUCUAAGCGUAGUAAUUCUUCUCGCUAUAGAGUCCCGGUGGAUGCUUGCCAUUAACCCCCAAUUUCAAUGGUUGACCUCGGAUCAGGUAGGGAUACCCGCUGAACUUAAGCAUAUCAAUAAGCGGAGGA